UUUGGUGACUAUAUCAAAGUGGAUACACCUGUUCCCAUACCGAACACAGAAGUUAAGCACUUUAGAGCCGAAAAUAGUUGGCGUUAUGCCUGCAAACAUAGGUCGUUGCCAAGC
RNAcentral lists this ribosomal RNA (114 nucleotides) under Bacilli bacterium. The record is from RNAcentral. Lineage: Bacteria; Bacillati; Bacillota; Bacilli.